ACACAGGGAAGGAGGUGGUCCGCGAAAUUGAUAGCUUCAUGGACAUGUGAGGUGGCUGCGCGCUAGCAGCAGUGGCUCGGAAGAGCUGGCGACAUCGCGCGCUGGCGAAACCCCCGCAGCCACCCGGCCCCCGAGCUCUCGGUCUGUCCAACCGGGAACGCGCUCGGGGGCCGCUCCAU
RNAcentral lists this small RNA (179 nucleotides) under Mycobacterium intermedium. RNAcentral describes it as "Actinobacteria sRNA Ms_IGR-5". It matches the Rfam family "Actinobacteria sRNA Ms_IGR-5". The record is from Rfam by way of RNAcentral. Lineage: Bacteria; Bacillati; Actinomycetota; Actinomycetes; Mycobacteriales; Mycobacteriaceae.